This 378-nucleotide long non-coding RNA is filed under the name Citrus sinensis (sweet orange). RNAcentral describes it as "long non-coding RNA (CSIN_LNC000015)". The record is from RNAcentral. Lineage: Eukaryota; Viridiplantae; Streptophyta; Magnoliopsida; Sapindales; Rutaceae.
GCUCCUCCUCCGUCACCUGCUGCACCUGUUAGUACGGGUUCAGCUGCUCCUGCUCCUGCUGCAGCACCCACCUCGCAGCCUCAGCCUUCACCACGCCAACCUGCAGCAAGACAGCAGCUUCCACCCCCUCCAACUCUGCCACCUCCACCUCCCAUAUCGAACCAAGCCCCAGCGAGAGAGCGGUUCACUCUUCCACCCCCUCCCCCGCUGCCUGAGAAACUUGACCCACCAAUUGUGACUCUGGAUGAUCUAUUUCGGAAAACUAAGGCAACGCCGAGGAUCUAUUACCUGCCUUUGUCAGAAGAACAAGUUGCCGCAAAACUUGAAGCUCGGAGUAAAAGUUCCAAGCAGUAGGGAUCAGGCUAUCUAAUCUAUAUC